AUUGAACGCUGGCGGAAUGCUUUACACAUGCAAGUCGAACGGCAGCACGGACUUCGGUCUGGUGGCGAGUGGCGAACGGGUGAGUAAUGUAUCGGAACGUGCCCAGUCGCGGGGGAUAACGUAGUGAAAAUUACGCUAAUACCGCAUACGAUCUAUGGAUGAAAGCGGGGGAUCGCAAGACCUCGCGCGAUUGGAGCGGCCGAUAUCAGAUUAGGUAGUUGGUGGGGUAAAGGCCCACCAAGCCAACGAUCUGUAGCUGGUCUGAGAGGACGACCAGCCACACUGGAACUGAGACACGGUCCAGACUCCUACGGGAGGCAGCAGUGGGGAAUUUUGGACAAUGGGCGAAAGCCUGAUCCAGCCAUUCCGCGUGCAGGAUGAAGGCCCUCGGGUUGUAAACUGCUUUUGUACAGAACGAGAAGGUUUCUACUAAUACUAGGAGCUCAUGACGGUACUGUAAGAAUAAGCACCGGCUGACUACGUGCCAGCAGCCGCAGUAA
This 500-nucleotide ribosomal RNA is filed under the name uncultured bacterium. RNAcentral describes it as "partial 16S ribosomal RNA". It matches the Rfam family "Bacterial small subunit ribosomal RNA", at positions 30 to 523 of the family's 1533-position model. The record is from RNAcentral.